AUUGAACGCUGGCGGCAGGCCUAACACAUGCAAGUCGAGCGGAUGAAGGGAGCUUGCUCCUGGAUUCAGCGGCGGACGGGUGAGUAAUGCCUAGGAAUCUGCCUGGUAGUGGGGGAUAACGUCCGGAAACGGGCGCUAAUACCGCAUACGUCCUGAGGGAGAAAGUGGGGGAUCUUCGGACCUCACGCUAUCAGAUGAGCCUAGGUCGGAUUAGCUAGUUGGUGGGGUAAAGGCCUACCAAGGCGACGAUCCGUAACUGGUCUGAGAGGAUGAUCAGUCACACUGGAACUGAGACACGGUCCAGACUCCUACGGGAGGUAGCAGUGGGGAAUAUUGGACAAUGGGCGAAAGCCUGAUCCAGCCAUGCCGCGUGUGUGAAGAAGGUCUUCGGAUUGUAAAGCACUUUAGGUUGGGAGGAAGGGCAGUAAGUUAAUACCUUGCUGUUUUGACGUUACCAACAGAAUAAGCACCGGCUAACUUCGUG
Molecule: ribosomal RNA, 484 nt
Filed under: uncultured bacterium
Lineage: Bacteria
Description: partial 16S ribosomal RNA
Rfam family: Bacterial small subunit ribosomal RNA
Source: RNAcentral